GAAGUAAACCGGGUGAUCGCUGUUCCGGCUUUUAGUCGGGAGAGAGGAAAGUCCGGGCUCCACAGAGCAGGAUACUCCGUAACGCGGAGUGGGGGUGACCUCAAGGAAAGUGCAACAGAAAGGACACAGCCUACCCGUUAGAAGUGCAAACUUUUAGCGGCGGCAAUGGUGAAACGGUGAGGUAAGAGCUCACCAGUACCGCCGGUGACGGUGGUAGCUUGGCAAACCCUAUCCGGAGCAAGAUCAAAUAGGAAAGUG
This 258-nucleotide RNase P RNA is filed under the name Nitrospina sp. Its description in RNAcentral is "partial RNase P RNA component class A". It matches the Rfam family "Bacterial RNase P class A", at positions 1 to 242 of the family's 367-position model. Rfam says of the family: Ribonuclease P (RNase P) is a ubiquitous endoribonuclease, found in archaea, bacteria and eukarya as well as chloroplasts and mitochondria. The record is from RNAcentral. Lineage: Bacteria; Pseudomonadati; Nitrospinota; Nitrospinia; Nitrospinales; Nitrospinaceae.